GGUUCUUUUAGGCAUCUGCAACCGGGAAGCUUCCUUCCUUCCUACAGUAUGUCUUUACUUAAGUGAAAUGUUUAUAGGUUUCGAAACGGCAAACUCGGGAUUUCCGAGUUAUGCCAUAAGACUUUUAUCAGUCUCGAUGAUGAUAAACCCGUAGUUUCGGGUAUAUGUGAUUUGUUAUCUAUAGAACCUAUGUGUUGAGUGCCUUUGUGUAGUCUUUAUCUCUUUCAACGCUAAAUGCAACUGUUUGUGAGGGUUAGACGACACAUUUAGUUCGUUUUCAAGUUUUUUUUUUUUAAUUUUCUUUGAAUAUUGACCCUUGUUUAUUGUUUCGGAGUGUUAAAGAGGGCAUGCUUUUAUGUCUUUCAAGUCACUGAUUCUUUUUGCCAUUAUUUAUGACACUGGAUUUGAUUGCAAAUUUAUUUGUACAAUAUUUUUUGCUGGUUGAUAUUUUUUGCUUGAUUCAGACUUCUUUAUGUUUUGUUUUGGUCAUUUAGCUUCAAAAUGUUAAAAAACAUCAUUAAAUUAUUUAAAAAAAUUCAUUUAAGUUAUAAAAUGGUUGUUAAAAUUGUUCUAUGAUAUUUUCUGUUUACAUUGUUUGUACCAAUUAAAAAUAAAUUUUUUUUAGUUCAAUUCUUUUUAUAAAAUAUUUUCAGAUGUCACGGAUUUAUAAAUUUAAUAGAUUUAUAAAAUAUCUUAGCAAUAAAUUUGUGAAUCAGAUUUUAAAUAAGAUUUUAAAAAAAAUAUCUUAAUGUGUUAAAUAAAAUGUUUUUGAAUAAUUUAAUAAUUUAAAUGAAUUUCGUUUAAUCUAAGUAAUGGAUUUGGAUGCCAACUUUGAAUGUUAGUAAUGAUGUUUUAUCAUGUUCUCAACAAAUGGGCUUCGCUUGCUUUGCCGGCUAGGCUCAUCAAUAUCCCCAACAUACUCUUCACGUUAUAACAUUCAAAAUGUAUCAAAUUAAAUAUAUAGGAUAUUAAAAUUAAAAAGAAAUUAUUUAUGAGUUGAUCUCGAAUUAAUUUGUAACAUCAAUUUAACGUAAAAAUUGAUUAAAUUAUUUAUGAAUUUCGCAAUUAAGUCAACUUUAGUACUUAAGCUUGAAAAUUAAAUCUAUUUUAAUCUAUAAAUUUUUAAAAAAUAUAAAAAUUCGGUGAUGUGUAUUUUAAUAGUGUGCCACGUCAUUAGAUCUAUUUUUUUAAAUGAUGAUAUAAUACGAUGCUAAAUUACCAUAUCAAAUCAUCGAACUUUUACAUUUUUUCAAAUUUUAGUCCGAAAUAGAAUUUUUAUCAAGUUCACGGGUCAAAAACUAUAUUAACCCUUUAAAAAAAUAAAAAAUUAGAUUGUAAAAUUCAGCCGAGUCAAACGAAGCCGCCAACGAGUGAAGUUGUCUAUUAGCCGAGUCCAUAAAAUACAGCGCGGCUUAAUCAUGACCACAACACAAAAACCCGUGCCCUUUAGAACCGAACACGACGUGGCAACACAAGAUUAGGCGAAGAAAUGUUUCGUACGAUAACCUAAUGUUCAAAUACAAACACCCUAUUAAUUCUCAACUCAACUGGGGCAAGUUUUCACCGAAAUAAAAGGACCUUUGCCCCUCCCCACCGUUUUUCAACCCUCGUCAUCGAAGAGCUUUCCUUUUUCUCUCUCUAUAUUUUCUCAUCUCCUUUUCCACCGCCGUCGAUCUCGAUCCGUAUCCCCGUUUUCAAAAAAGCUCCAAAAAGAUGGUAAUGUUUCAGCUGCCUUUUUUUUUUAAAAAAAGUUUAAAAUUAAUAGUUUAUCCUUGAAUUAGAUCGUAUUUCUGAUAUUUUUGUGUAAUUUCUUAGCAAUCCGACUGGAUUGUCUUUUUCUUUUGUUGAUUUUUUAAGUUUUAAAUUAAUAGUUUAAGCUUGAAUUUAAUCUUAUUUCUGAUUUUUAGUGUAAUUUCUUAGCAAUCCGAUUGGAUCUUUUUUUUUGUUUAUUCUUGAAUUUAGUCGAUUUUCUGAUUAUUUUUGUGUGAUUUCUUAGUAAUCCGACUGGAUCCUUACUUUUAAGUUUAAAAUUAAUAGUUUAUCCUUUAAUUGAAUCGUAGUUCUGGUAUUUUUGUGUAAUUUCUUAGCAAUUCGACUGGAUCGUCUUUUUUCUUGUUCAUAUUUUUGUGUAGUUUUAAAUUAAUAGUUUAUCCUAGAAUUAAAUCAUAUAUCUCUGGUAUUUUUGUGCAACUUCUUAGCAAUUCGACUGGAUCGUCUCUUUUCCUGUUGAUUUUUUUUUGUAGUUUUAAAUUAAUAGUUUAUCCUAGAAUUAAAUCAUAUCUCUGGUAUUUUUGUGUAAUUUCUUAGUAAUCCAACUAGAUCCUCUCUUUUUUUUGUUGAUUUUUCUUUUUUAAUUUUGUGUUUGAUCGGUUAAUUCAUCUCUGCAUUGAUGCUUGAAAAUCCCCGGAAAUUUUUGAGUGUCUGGAUCUUAGGAUUUUAAAUCUGUAGUUAAUGAUUUGAUUUGAUUUCGAUGAAAUUAGAUGUACUAAUUUGUGCUGAAAAUGGAAUCAUUACUGGUCUAGCUUCUUGUCUCUUUAGCUGGUUGAUUUUACUGAAUUUGCUGUUAAUCUAAAUACGUAUCGGUUUCUACUUUAUGAAUACUCUAUUUUUAACUGUUUUUCUUUGACACUGACUUUUUAUUUUACUUGUUUAAUAUAUUAAUCUAAUUUGUCUGCGCUUGUAAUUUGGAUCCUUGUAUUUUUGUUGUUAUUAUUAUUUUCUUAUUUUUACUGAAACCAAAGAAAAUCUUAUUUUAUAUAUCCAAACAUAAUAUUAUGGUUUUAUGAUCAUAAACAAUAAACACGCCCCAUUGUGAAGCUCAACUAGCUGAUUUAGGAUGUUCUAAAGGCAAUGUAAGAUGAGCUCUGCUUCAUCCUAAAGAUAUUGACACAUGAUGUUAUACCAGCAUAGGGGGCCAUUGCAAGAGAUCAAGUUAGAGUGUAAAGGGUAUUUAAGUGUAGCUUUUGUUUUCUUUCUUUAUUGUUCAUUUUUUUAGGAUCAAAUCAUGGAUAUAUAGAUUAUUGGAAUGGUUGAUUUUUUUUCUUCAUUUAUCGUUCCUUUGUGUUCUAUUGAUGUUAUUAAACAUUGGGACUGCUUUUGAUAUUUGUUUUCUCAUGUGGUAUUAUUUUAUAUCCUAGGCCAAUGCUGCAUCGGGAAUGGCUGUGCAUGAUGAUUGCAAGUUGAAGUUCCAAGAACUUAAGGCAAAAAGAACCCACCGCUUUAUUGUUUUCAAAAUCGAGGAGAAGCAGAAGCAAGUUAUCGUGGAGAAGCUUGGUGAGCCAACUGAGAGCUAUGAAGAUUUUACUAAAUGUCUUCCCGCUGAUGAAUGUCGUUAUGCUGUGUACGAUUUUGAUUUUCUAACAGCCGAGAACGUCCCAAAGAGCAGAAUCUUUUUCAUCGCAUGGUACUGCAAUGUUUCUUAAUCGUGGGGUUCCAUUGUUUCCUUUUAUUACUUACUAUAUAUUGUUGUUGUCCUAUGAAGGUCUCCCGAUACAUCAAGGAUCAGGAGCAAAAUGAUAUAUGCUAGCUCCAAAGACAGAUUCAAGCGAGAACUGGAUGGAAUCCAAGUGGAAUUGCAAGCAACAGAUCCAACCGAGAUGGGUCUUGAUGUCUUCAAAAGCCGUGCUAACUGAAUACAGUUCUUUUAGGCUUUUGCAACAGGGAAGCUUCCUUCCUUCCUUCCUACAGUAUGUCUUUUACUUAUGUGAAAUGUUUAUAGGUUUCGAAAUGGCAAAACUUGGACAAUUACCGAUUU
RNAcentral lists this long non-coding RNA (3754 nucleotides) under Gossypium raimondii (Peruvian cotton). Its description in RNAcentral is "long non-coding RNA (GRAI_LNC001724)". Lineage: Eukaryota; Viridiplantae; Streptophyta; Magnoliopsida; Malvales; Malvaceae. The record is from RNAcentral.